RNAcentral lists this long non-coding RNA (522 nucleotides) under Dromaius novaehollandiae (emu). RNAcentral's name for it is "lncRNA (ENSDNVG00000007478.1)". Lineage: Eukaryota; Metazoa; Chordata; Aves; Casuariiformes; Dromaiidae. The record is from RNAcentral.
AAAGUACACCAAGUGAGCUUCAAGGGGAGUGCAGAAGGCCUUAAUCUGUCUCUUUCAUGUGUCUGCUGCGUUCUUCAAAGGUGAGCAAUCUCCUACUGGAUCUGCAAAAUCCCUGAGAGGGCAGCAGCAAGGAAGAGGAAAUGAAGACAUGUCAAAUCUGAAAAAUCAUAACAUAAUGUUUGACUGCAUUGUUAUCCAAGUACAUCUUUCACUGUAAGAAACCUCUAUGACAAGCAUGGAUUUGUAAUGAGAAGAGGCUAUUAUAUCAAAUCAACCAUCUCUGUCGGUUUGCUGAUCAACAAGACAGGAGCUUUAAUGCCUACAGAUAAUAUUGGCCUCAUAUCUCCUAGUUCAUCCAUUGUACAGAUUGGACUUCAAAUGAGGCAGCAAGUUGGAGAAAACAAGCUGUUGAAGACACUGGAUUGUCCGGAUGGCCUUUCCUUUCAAGGUAGCAAGUUUGCUGAAGGUAACCACUUGAUCACAACACAGUCUCAGUCAAGGAUUAGAGAUGUGCACUGUUGA